GGGCCUUUAGCUCAGCUGGUUAGAGCAGUGGACUCAUAAUCCAUUGGUCCAAGGUUCAAAUCCUUGAAGGCCCA
RNAcentral lists this transfer RNA (74 nucleotides) under Treponema sp. Its description in RNAcentral is "tRNA-Ile". It matches the Rfam family "tRNA". From Rfam's summary of the family: Transfer RNA (tRNA) molecules are approximately 80 nucleotides in length. Their secondary structure includes four short double-helical elements and three loops (D, anti-codon, and T loops). The record is from RNAcentral. Lineage: Bacteria; Pseudomonadati; Spirochaetota; Spirochaetia; Treponematales; Treponemataceae.